UGGGGAAUAUUGCACAAUGGGCGCAAGCCUGAUGCAGCCAUGCCGCGUGUGUGAAGAAGGCCUUCGGGUUGUAAAGCACUUUCAGCGAGGAGGAAGGUGGUGAGCUUAAUACGCUCAUCAAUUGACGUUACUCGCAGAAGAAGCACCGGCUAACUCCGUGCCAGCAGCCGCGGUAAUACGGAGGGUGCAAGCGUUAAUCGGAAUUACUGGGCGUAAAGCGCACGCAGGCGGUUUGUUAAGUCAGAUGUGAAAUCCCCGGGCUCAACCUGGGAACUGCAUUUGAAACUGGCAAGCUAGAGUCUCGUAGAGGGGGGUAGAAUUCCAGGUGUAGCGGUGAAAUGCGUAGAGAUCUGGAGGAAUACCGGUGGCGAAGGCGGCCCCCUGGACGAAGACUGACGCUCAGGUGCGAAAGCGUGGGGCAGCAAACAGGAUUAGAUACCCUGGUAGUCCACGCUGUAAACGAUGUCGAUUUGGAGGUUGUGCCCCUUGAGGCGUGGCUUCCGGAGCUAACGCGUUAAAUCGACCG
RNAcentral lists this ribosomal RNA (526 nucleotides) under uncultured bacterium. RNAcentral's name for it is "partial 16S ribosomal RNA". It matches the Rfam family "Bacterial small subunit ribosomal RNA", at positions 355 to 871 of the family's 1533-position model. The record is from RNAcentral.